UCCUUUAAAUAGGACACGUGUAUAAAAUUUAUACGCUCCCCUUACAAAAUUUGUGAGAGGGAGCGUUUUUUU
RNAcentral lists this non-coding RNA (72 nucleotides) under Staphylococcus aureus. Its description in RNAcentral is "SARs269". It matches the Rfam family "S. aureus tsr31 small RNA". Lineage: Bacteria; Bacillati; Bacillota; Bacilli; Caryophanales; Staphylococcaceae. The record is from RNAcentral.